Molecule: non-coding RNA, 1171 nt
Organism: Oryctolagus cuniculus (rabbit)
Lineage: Eukaryota; Metazoa; Chordata; Mammalia; Lagomorpha; Leporidae
Source: RefSeq, a predicted model, not a curated record
GCUCUGACGGGAAGCCAGGAGGCUGGGCAAUGAGCUGUUUGUACAGAUGGCCAUCCCUGCUCUUCUCCCGCCAGCUUAGGUCAUCUACCACUGACACCUCCGAGAUGCAGUGUUCCUUCAGUGAUCAGGCCUAUGCUCCAGUAACCUUGCAGUGGGUGGGCCGUUCAUCUGCUUGUAUCUGGCAGAAGUGCAUGUGAGGACUCAGGGAAGAAACCUCUCUGGCACGUCUGAAGUUAGCCAGGAGGAUCCAGCACCACAAGGGGGAAAGGAUGACUGAGAAGUACCAGCAGGUCGAUCAGACUGGGUGUAUCACUGUCUUCUUCAGAAGCCUCAGAGAGCCCUCACCCCCUACUGGGUCUCUGAACUCAGAGGUCUGAACCUUAAAUCAAACCUUCCACAUUGUCAGACAGUGAGCUUCCUCUCCAGUAUCAGCUUUGCUGCUGCCUUCACAAGCAACCCUGACCCAAGUACAGCCAAAGUUGGGACAACUUAACACCUCAUUCCUUCCUGGCACCUCUGCUAGUUUUUGCAAGAUUUAGAAAUAUUUAUUAGAAUCAAGGACUCCAGCCAGAGUGAAGGGGGCUUCCAAGAGAGGAAAACCCAAAGAAGACUGGUGGCAGUCGGCUUCAAGUACAAUUUCGAAGGAAAAAAACCCUGACAAUCAGAUUCUCCUCUACUCCUCCAACGUUCUGCACCACUGGGGUGGUGCUCAGCCACGAAUGCCUAUCUCAGCCAUGAUCAGUAUUGGUAUCACUGUCAGGUGCCAUCUUGGCCUUUAAUGUUAAGUUGUACACAAGCAGAAGCUUGCUUAUGCGUGUCAAAAUAGCCAACAAGGUAUAGCACGGUGCUUAGAAGAGGGCAAAUACUUAGUCCAUGUUUGUUUAACAAGUGACUUUGGGGUAAAAUUAUUAGGAUGAGGCCUAGGGAGUCAACACAUUGGCUUUGAAGAUGGUUUCAACUGCAUUAAAGGCUAUUUCUUUCCAUUUUUGGAUCUUUAAGUGGUAUAAAUCUAUACUAGCGUUCAAUAAAAAUAUAUUUAAGAAGGCUUCUCCUCAACCCACCCCAUAAGACAAAAAAAAAUACUAUUGCAAGGACUUUUUAAAUAGUUUCCUAAAAUGAUAGUGCAAACAUGUAUAUGAAUUCCCACCAAAUAAUACAGAGGAUUUAUGUA